UUUUUUUUUUUUUUUACAGAAAUGCGAUUAUAGAUUAACGGAAGGAGGUGACGAAUAUUUGCAAUUGUUGAAUGUGUUUUCCUAUAUUGUAACGGCAUAUAAGCUGUAAGAGAAGACUCGUAAAGUUUGUUUUCAUGUCAAUGAAGUAAAUAUUUACGAGUAUAUAUUUAAGUAUAUAUUUAUUUUUAAUGUACAUCAUAAGUAAAUAUUUCUAUAUUUUUAUACGUGUCUUGUUACAUAGAUGAUUUAUUCGUUUUUCAUAAAAUAAUCUCAUACAAACAAAAACUAUUUCAUGACAAGUUAAUUUAUUGGCCACUUUUUGAUCCUAAUGUGCCAAGCAAUAAAACUUGUUUGGAAGCUUUUUGUUUUAGUUGUAGCGCUUGGUGAUAAAUAAACAGAUGAGUCAGUCUGUAAAACUCACCUAUACGUUUUUAUGUAUCCAAUUCUACAUAUGUUAAUUUUUUAUCAUGUAUUUGAGAAUAAAAGUAAUGAUGAUUCCGCUGUGAACUUGACCGACACGUCACUCAAGAUCUCUUUCUAGAAAUGUUCUUAAAAUUUGUUCUUGAUUCAAGUAAUUGUUCAAGUGAAUAGCCUACUUUACAUCGUACAUCUUUUUAGUACGCGAAUUAAAUAAACAAUUAAUAAAGAAUCUUAGGCUCUGAGAUUUCUAAACGCGAAAUAUAUAAACGGUAACAAGAACCGUACGCUGGAUGUUACGGAAAUAUGCGUAUAUAUAUACAUAUUCAGGGUGAUUUAUUUUAAUCGCUUCAGGCAGAUGUUGAAGCUAAGAGAAAUAGAAAAAAACUUUCAAAUAAAAGUUGUAAUGUGGUGAGAGGGAAAUACGAUGGUCUUAAUGAAUUUUGUGUAGAGGCUAUUUCCAAGGUCACGUCAAAGUCAUCUUAAAAUUUUUAAAAGAAAGUCCCUAUUUUGUAUUGCAUAUUCAUGUAGUUAAGGCAUUUUUAGAACACUGAUUACAACCUUAUUUUUAGUUGAGAACGUUUUGAGUUAUGAGUUUUCAAAUUUUUGUAACAGUACCGCCAGCAGGAAUGGGAUAAAAGAUGCUCCGAUCACGCGUAUCUCACGCCGAUGCUUGAUGUUUUUUCACACACAACAGCUGUUUACCCGACCUUGAGUGCGACCGCUCACUUGGAAUAGGAAAGUUUGAAUCUCGGAACAAAUCAAACCAGUCUUCAAUGGGUGCUUUCCAUAGAGCUUAUACCACGAAGUAAGAGUAAGGAGAUCGAACUUCGUGAUAUAAAAGUGGUCCCGAUUCUGACGCCUAAUUGGGAGGGAAUCCGCUCAAGGGAAUAGUUUCUUACGGUUGGACGCCAUUUGCAAUUAGUAACGUAACCUAACUUUAUCUGUCAGUUUUGUUUCUUUACAAAUUAUGGCAUGCUGGAUACGUGGAUGCGAGACCAAAGGAGGGAAACAUGUUUCCAGAAAAAGAAGUCUUUUUACACCUAGGACAGUGAGUAUGCGUUAAG
Molecule: long non-coding RNA, 1484 nt
Organism: Pseudomyrmex gracilis
Lineage: Eukaryota; Metazoa; Arthropoda; Insecta; Hymenoptera; Formicidae
Exons: 2
Source: RefSeq, a predicted model, not a curated record